RNAcentral lists this ribosomal RNA (672 nucleotides) under Rhaphiomidas terminatus. RNAcentral's name for it is "partial 16S ribosomal RNA". The record is from RNAcentral. Lineage: Eukaryota; Metazoa; Arthropoda; Insecta; Diptera; Mydidae.
AUGUCAACAUGAUCUAACCUGGGAUUACAAAAUAGAGCUUCCCCACUAAUAGAACAACUAACCUUUUUCCAUGACCACACAUUAUUGAUUCUAGUAAUAAUUACAAUUUUAGUAGGUUACCUAAUAUUUAUACUAUUCUUUAAUAGUUAUACUAACCGAUUCCUACUACAUGGACAAAUUAUUGAAAUAAUCUGAACAAUUUUACCGGCUAUUAUCCUUUUAUUUAUUGCUUUCCCAUCCCUACGACUAUUAUACUUAUUAGAUGAAAUUAGUGAACCAAUAAUUACACUAAAAUCAAUUGGUCACCAAUGGUAUUGAAGUUAUGAAUAUUCAGACUUUAUUGAUUUAGAAUUUGACUCCUACAUAAUCCCAACCAGUGAUCUUUCAGUAGAUGGAUUUCGAUUACUAGAUGUAGAUAACCGGGUAGUACUCCCAAUAAACACCCAAAUUCGUGUAUUAGUUACAGCCGCUGAUGUUAUUCACUCUUGGACAAUCCCGGCCCUUGGGGUAAAAGUAGAUGGAACCCCUGGUCGGUUAAACCAGACCAAUUUUAUAAUUAGCCGUCCGGGAUUGUUCUUUGGCCAAUGUUCAGAAAUUUGUGGGGCUAACCAUAGUUUUAUACCAAUUGUAAUUGAAAGUGUAAAUACAAGUUAUUUUAUUAAAUGAAUUUCA